This 467-nucleotide ribosomal RNA is filed under the name uncultured bacterium. RNAcentral's name for it is "partial 16S ribosomal RNA". It matches the Rfam family "Bacterial small subunit ribosomal RNA", at positions 28 to 507 of the family's 1533-position model. The record is from RNAcentral.
GACGAACGCUGGCGGCGUGCUUAACACAUGCAAGUCGAACGGAAAGGCCCUGCUUUUGUGGGGUGCUCGAGUGGCGAACGGGUGAGUAACACGUGAGUAACCUGCCCUUGACUUUGGGAUAACUUCAGGAAACUGGGGCUAAUACCGGAUAGGAGCUCCUGCUGCAUGGUGGGGGUUGGAAAGUUUCGGCGGUUGGGGAUGGACUCGCGGCUUAUCAGCUUGUUGGUGGGGUAGUGGCUUACCAAGGCUUUGACGGGUAGCCGGCCUGAGAGGGUGACCGGCCACAUUGGGACUGAGAUACGGCCCAGACUCCUACGGGAGGCAGGAGUGGGGAAUAUUGCACAAUGGGCGGAAGCAGGAUGCAGCAACGCCGCGUGCGGGAGGACGGCCUUCGGGUUGUAAACCGCUUUCGCCUGUGACGAAGCGUGAGUGACGGUAAUGGGUAAAGAAGCACCGGCUACUACGUG